RNAcentral lists this ribosomal RNA (1449 nucleotides) under uncultured Bordetella sp. RNAcentral's name for it is "partial 16S-23S ribosomal RNA intergenic spacer". It matches the Rfam family "Bacterial small subunit ribosomal RNA". Lineage: Bacteria; Pseudomonadati; Pseudomonadota; Betaproteobacteria; Burkholderiales; Alcaligenaceae. The record is from RNAcentral.
CAUGGCUCAGAUUGAACGCUGGCGGGGGUCUUGCAUGCAAGUCGGGCAGCAGCACGGACUUCGGUCUGGUGGCGAGUGGCGGGCGGGUGGUAAUGUCGGAACGUGCCUAGUAGCGGGGGAUAACUACGCGAAAGCGUAACUAAUACCGCAUACGCCCUUCGGGGAAAGCGGGGGGACCUUCCGGGCCCUCGCACUAUUAGGAAACGGCCGAUAUCGGAUUAGCUUCGUUGGUGGGGUAACGGCUCGCCAAGGCGACGAUCCGUAGCUGGUUUGAGGACGAUAAUGCCUGGGACUGAGACACGGCCCAGACUCCUACAGGAGGCAGCAGUGGGGAAUUUUGGUAAUGGGGGGAAACCCUGAUCCAGCCAUCCGCGUGUCUGAUGAAGGCCUUCGGGUUGUAAAGCACUUUUGGCAGAAAGAAACGGCACGGGAUAAUACCCCGUGCAACUGACGGUACUGCAAAGAUAACCUGGCUAACUACGUGCCAGCAGCCGCGGUAAUACGUAGGGUGCAAGCGUUAAUCGGAAUUACUGGGCCAAAAUUGCUGAGCGGUUCGGAAAAGAAAGAUAUUGAAAUCCCAGAGCGCUUUGGAACUGCAUUUUCUUCACCGAGCUAGAAGUGGCUUGUCAGAGGGAGGUGGAAUUCGCGAUGUAGCAGUGAAAUGCGUAGAUAUGCGGAGGAGGAACACCGAUGGCGAAGGCAGCCUCCUGGGAUAACACUGACGCUCAUGUUACCCGAAAAAUGGGGAGCAAACGGGAUUAGAUGCCCUGGUAGUCCGCCCUAAACGAUGUCAACUAGCUGUUGGGGCCUUCGGGGCCUUGGUAACGCAAUAACGUGAAGUUGACCGCCUCAAGGGAAGUACGGUCGCAAGAUUAAAACUCAAAGAAUUGACGGGGACACACAAGGCGAAUUGAGAUGAUGUGGAUUAAUUCGAUGCAACGCGAAAACCUUCUACUUGACAUGUCUGAUCCAAAAUUUGGGAGUGCUCGCAAAGAGAACCGGAACACAGGUGCUGCAUGGCUGUCGUCAGCUCGUGUCGUGAGAUGUUGGGUUAAGUCGCAACGAGCGCAACCCUUGUCAUUGGAUUUGCCGAAGGCACUCUAAUAAUGAGACUGCCGGUGACAAACCGGAGGAGGAAGGUGGGGAUGACGUCAAGUCCUCAUGGCCCUUAUGGUGGGGCUUCACACGUCAUACAAUGGUCGGGACAGAGGGUCGCCCUUCCACGAGAGAACCCAAUCCCAGAAACCCGAUCGUAGUCCGGAUCGCAGUCUGCAACUCGACUGCGAAGUCGGAAUCGCUAGUAAUCGCGGAUCAGCAUGUCGCGGUGAAUACAUUCCCGGGUCUUGUACACGCAUACAUCACACCAUGGGAGUGGGUUUUACCGUCAGUUAGCCUAACCGCAGAAGGCGAUUACACGGUAAGUUGACUGGGGUGAAGUGUAGUCGGGCG